This 494-nucleotide ribosomal RNA is filed under the name uncultured bacterium. Its description in RNAcentral is "partial 16S ribosomal RNA". It matches the Rfam family "Bacterial small subunit ribosomal RNA", at positions 28 to 507 of the family's 1533-position model. The record is from RNAcentral.
GACGAACGCUGGCGGCGUGCUUAACACAUGCAAGUCGAACGGUGAAGCGCCUUCCUUUUUGGUGGGUGUGGAUGAGUGGCGAACGGGUGAGUAACACGUUAGUAACCUGCCCCCUUCUGCUGGAUAACCGCAUGAAAGUGUGGCUAAUACGGGAUAUUCUGGGUCUGUCGCAUGAUGGGUCUGGGAAAGAUAUUGUUUCGGUGGUGGAUGGGCUCGCGGCCUAUCAGCUUGUUGGUGGGGUGAUGGCCUACCAAGGCGGUGACGAGUAGCCGGCCUGAGAGGGUGGGCGGCCACACUGGGACUGAGACACGGACCAGCCUCCUACGGGAGGCAGCAGUGGGGAUUAUUGCACGAUGGGAGCAAUCCUGAUGCAGCGCCGCCGCGUGAGGGAUGGAGGCCUUCGGGUUGUGAACCUCUUUCGCCAGUGAAGCAGGCCUGCCUUGUUUGUGGGUGGGUUGACGGUAGCUAGAUAAGAAGCGCCGGCUAACUACGUG